This 500-nucleotide ribosomal RNA is filed under the name Prosymna visseri. Its description in RNAcentral is "partial large subunit ribosomal RNA". It matches the Rfam family "Bacterial large subunit ribosomal RNA", at positions 1816 to 2597 of the family's 2925-position model. Lineage: Eukaryota; Metazoa; Chordata; Lepidosauria; Squamata; Prosymnidae. The record is from RNAcentral.
AACCUUUAGCCAAACAAGCAUUAAAGGCAACACCUGCCCAGUGAACAAUUAAACGGCCGCGGUACCCUAACCGUGCAAAGGUAGCGUAAUCACUUGUCUAUUAAUUGUAGACCUGUAUGAAAGGUAGCAUGAGGGCCCAACUGUCUCUUAUAAUAAAUCAAUUAAACUGAUCUACCAGUACAAAAGCUGGUAUGCAAUCAUAAGACCAGAAGACCCUGUGAAGCUUAAACUAACCCAUUAAACCCAAUAAUGACUACUUUCGGUUGGGGCGACCUUGGAAAAAAAAAGAACUUCCAACUAACAACUUAAACCUACAUGGCUGACAAGCCCACACAGACCCAGCACAGCUGAUUAUUGAACCAAGUUACUCCAGGGAUAACAGCGCCAUCUUCUUCAAGAGCCCAUAUCAAAAAGAAGGUUUACGACCUCGAUGUUGGAUCAGGACAUCCUAAUGGUGCAGCCGCUAUUAAGGGUUCGUUUGUUCAACGAUUAACAGUCCU